GAAAGCCUACGGGGGGCAGCAGUAGGGAAUUUUCGUCAAUGGGCGCAAGCCUGAACGAGCAAUGCCGCGUGAACGAGGAAGGUCUUCGGAUCGUAAAGUUCUGUUGAAGGGGAAAAAGAGCGGAGAGAGGAAAUGGUCUCCGAUUGAUAUUACCCUUCGAGGAAGUCACGGCUAACUACGUGCCAGCAGCCGCGGUAAUACGUAGGGUGCAAGCGUUAUCCGGAUUUACUGGGUGUAAAGGGCGUGUAGGCGGGGACGCAAGUCAGAUGUGAAAACCACGGGCUCAACCUGUGGCCUGCAUUUGA
This 305-nucleotide ribosomal RNA is filed under the name uncultured bacterium. RNAcentral's name for it is "bacterial SSU rRNA". It matches the Rfam family "Bacterial small subunit ribosomal RNA", at positions 333 to 630 of the family's 1533-position model. The record is from RNAcentral.